Molecule: ribosomal RNA, 984 nt
Filed under: Triticum aestivum (bread wheat)
Lineage: Eukaryota; Viridiplantae; Streptophyta; Magnoliopsida; Poales; Poaceae
Description: partial small subunit ribosomal RNA
Source: RNAcentral
AUGGCUUCCCCAGAUAUCUCCUUUGAUAUUCGCCCAGAGUUUAACUCAUUUGAUCAUCUAAGAAGCACGGGAUAUAUUUCAACAGAUAGACCAUGGUUGAAACUAUAUGGAAUAAGAGUUCCACCCGUGUCACCGUUCAACAGUUUGAGCAGUACGCCCGAUCUGGCACUCAUUCACCAGUGCUUACCUGAUGAACUGCUUAUCGAGAUAUUUGGGAGAAUGAGCCCAUAUACUUUAGGGAGGGCUGCUUGUGUCUGCCGCAAGUGGAAAUAUACUACACGCAAUCCUACUUUUUGGCGGAACGCUUGCCUGAAAACCUGGCAGAGGAAUGGAAUAGAGGCAAACUUCAGGAUGGUGCAGUCGUUAUAUGAUUCUUCCUGGAGAAAAAUGUGGGUGCAGAGACCAAGAAUCCGAAUUGAUGGUCUUUAUGUUAGUAGAAACACAUAUAUUCAUACUGGAAUUACAGAAUGGCAGUUCAAGAAAACUGUCAAUGUGGUUUGCUACUACCGUUACUUGAGAUUUUUUCCAACCGGGAAGUUCCUGUACAAGAUUUCCCCACAGAAAGUUAAAGAUGUUGUCAAGUGCAUGCAUCUCCGAGCAUCAAAAGGCGAUAGUGUGUUUAAAGGCGACUAUACACUGUCAGGGGAUGGCCAGAUAGAAAUGGCACUCCUAUAUCCUGGACAUCGGUACACACUUGUUAGGAUGCGCCUUAGGGUUAGAGGCACUACAAUUGGUGCAAAUAACAGGUUGGAUGUCUUAAAGAUCCUAACCACCGGGGUGAAUGGAACCGAACUGGGAAACUGGAAAGGCAACAUACUUGAACUUGUUGAGGACUGGGAGGAGAACGAGACGCACGACCCAGACGUGCCUGCUGUUUCCCACAGCAGGGGUUUGACUCCCUUUGUGUUUGUUCCAUUUGAGGAGGCUGAUACUUCAGUGCUAAACCUGCCGGUGGAGAAGAUGGAUUACUUUGUCCCUGGGUGA